Nothobranchius furzeri (turquoise killifish) is the source of this 479-nucleotide long non-coding RNA. RefSeq lists it as uncharacterized. The record is from RefSeq and is a predicted model, not a curated record. Lineage: Eukaryota; Metazoa; Chordata; Actinopteri; Cyprinodontiformes; Nothobranchiidae.
UCUCUGUGACAAUGCAUCACUGCGAGAUUUAGUGAUGUGAACAGUGGUGUCCUGCAUGCUAUGCGACUGACCAGUUUCCAGUGCUGGCCAGAGGCAGACACGAGUUUCGAUUUUGGUGAUGAGGAGAUAAACAAGCUCACAAGUCACUUCCGACCUCUUCUGCUGGAGUGGAUGUGGACUUGAUCCCUGAUCAAUGGACAAUUCUUAAGGCUGAACUGUACACAGCAGGAUUUAGCCAAGGAACUUUUGAGAAAACCUGGCCUACUGUGAACAGAAUGCUGCGCCAUCGGUGUCCUGACGUCCUUUACCUCUUUGAUGCUCUCCUCACCAUCCCUGCAAGUACAGCUGACUGUGAAAGAGGGUUCAGUGUCAUGAAGCAGGUAAAGAGUGACUGGCGUUCACGCCCAAAGUCUCCUAACGAUCUUCGUCCUGUAGCUCUAACCUCCUUGGUGAUGAAGGCCAUGGAGAAGAUCAUAAAA